Molecule: long non-coding RNA, 1047 nt
Organism: Armigeres subalbatus
Lineage: Eukaryota; Metazoa; Arthropoda; Insecta; Diptera; Culicidae
Exons: 4
Source: RefSeq, a predicted model, not a curated record
UACAACGACGUUUGCAGUAAAAAAAAAACAAAAAACAAAAAUACGGAGUUCAACUUCGGAAUAAAAGUCGCGUGUUCACACGGUUAUUGUGGUCAUUGUGCGUUCUCUUAGCAGGAAUAUUUCCCGUAAAAUCGUGUGUCUGUGCUGAUCGGCUGAUCCGGAGCUGAGAUAUGCGGUGUACCAUGAUACUACUUCCUUCGUCCGAGUGCGUUGCUGUGGAGAAGUUAAAUAUUCAGUGACAAGACAAUUCUAGCCGUGACCAGUUCCCUUCCGCCACAGUAUCAUUGGUGUUUGGUGCUGUGCAAAUUGUUGGUUUUCGAUUCCGGCUCUCCCGUUUUUUCAAGCGCUAUCGAAAAGUUCCCACCAACGGCAAAGCAAGUUCAUCAAGAUCAAUAACGAAAAUGAAUAUGCGAUGCGCAAAACGGUAUAGGUGUAUACCGGAUGACCGAUCUGGAAACUGUCUGAACCAUCAGAUUCUAACACGAGCCAAACUACUUAAAAAGGAACCUCCCAAGCCGAUUGAGACAUACGUUGUUCAAGCAGCUCCGUUGGCGUUGAUAAUGUGCUCGUAGUUACAGGAGCGAAAGUAUCUCGACGAACAGCGUCAAUACAUCGGAGAGGAAAACGCUUGCUACCGGUUCCCGCAUCGACCAAGGUUCAGCUGGGUAGUAGUUUUGACUAACUGUUAACUGAUGAACUGGCUGGAUGGACGGACGAGUGACAGAGGAGUGUCAAAAGCGGGUGGCGAGGAAGUCGGCACCGUUGGUUUCAUCGCACUUCCAGUACAUGAGCCCAUUCUAUGGGCUGCCGAAUAAGAUAAGGGAUUUGCUGAGGAUGUUCCGUGGUAUAACGGAGAUGUAUGCCACUCCAACCUUGGCCUUCUUGGUACCGCGCAUCUUCAUACGGUUCCUGCUUUCCUUGCGCUGCUUUCGGUGAUCUUCUUCUCGAAUAGUCUGUGGUGGCCCAAUCGGCGCUUGGGUUCGAACUUCUUGGCAUGUACAGCACAAAGCUGGUCGACUUGCCACCGCCAAAGUUGGUUCGGAGUCA